This 845-nucleotide ribosomal RNA is filed under the name uncultured bacterium. RNAcentral's name for it is "bacterial SSU rRNA". It matches the Rfam family "Bacterial small subunit ribosomal RNA", at positions 27 to 894 of the family's 1533-position model. The record is from RNAcentral.
GGACGAACGCUGGCGGCGUGCUUAACACAUGCAAGUCGAACGGGCAGCACUGGAAGGUUCGCUGGAAGGUGUUGUUAGUGGCGGACGGGUGAGUAACGCGUGAGGACAUGGCUCCAGGAGGGGGAUAACGUUUGGAAACGGACGCUAAGACCCCAUAUGCCGGAAGGUGAAAAUGGCGCAAGCCAGCCUGGAGAGUGACUCGCGUCCUAUCAGCUAGUUGGUGGGGUGAAGGCCUACCAAGGCGACGACGGGUAGCCGACCUGAGAGGGUGGCCGGCCACACUGGAACUGAGAUACGGUCCAGACUCCUACGGGAGGCAGCAGUGGGGAAUAUUGGGCAAUGGGCGAAAGCCUGACCCAGCGACGCCGCGUGGGGGAAGAAGUCUUUCGGGAUGUAAACCCUUGUUGUACGGGACGAUACAAAUGACGGUACCGUACGAGGAAGCCCCGGCAAACUACGUGCCAGCAGCCGCGGUAAUACGUAGGGGGCAAGCGUUGUCCGGAAUUACUGGGCGUAAAGCGCACGUAGGCGGGUUGUUAAGUCGGCCGUGAAAGGCACUGGCUCAACCGGUGUAUGUCGGUCGAUACUGGCAGUCUGGAGUAUGGGAGAGGGAACUGGAAUUCCCGGUGUAGUGGUGAAAUGCGUAGAUAUCGGGAGGAACACCAGUGGCGAAGGCGGGUUCCUGGCCCAUUACUGACGCUGAGGUGCGAAAGCCGGGGGAGCGAACGGGAUUAGAUACCCCGGUAGUCCCGGCUGUAAACGAUGGAUGCUAGGUGUGGGGGGGUUCCCCUCUGUGCCGCAGCUAACGCGAUAAGCAUCCCGCCUGGGGAGUACGAUCGCAAGAU